Molecule: long non-coding RNA, 1035 nt
Organism: Solanum stenotomum
Lineage: Eukaryota; Viridiplantae; Streptophyta; Magnoliopsida; Solanales; Solanaceae
Exons: 6
Source: RefSeq, a predicted model, not a curated record
UUGAGGCUUCUUUUCCUUUAUAUACAUCUCUCUCUUUUCUCCUCAAAAUUGAUGCAUUUCUUCCUCCAAAUUAGUCUUGAAGAAGCUUGAUCGAAGACUUGUUCGCAUUUUCAUUAUUUUCGUCAGUUUAUUUUUCUGAAAUUUUUGAACAAAUCGCAGUUGUAGUCGCAAGGCUAUCCAAGAGAGCCUCUCUCUCUCUCUCACCCUAAGCCGGAAACUGAAUACCAAGAAAUUGUUCAAAAUUCCCAAUUUUUCUGGAACAAGCUUUAGCAAUUCUCCGCUUCACUGCCUACCAAUUUCAAAUAGAUAGCUACUUUUGGGAGGAGGCAAAUCACAACUCACAAAAAUCCUUAUUUUAGGAUUUACUAUCUUAAAUGUUAGAAUCAAUGCUUCACAAGAUUUGGGUUUCCUGCUUCGAAGAUUCUAGCAGGGAAAUCUCUAGGACAACUGAUGAUCGUGCCCGAGUCUGAGGCCAACUACCAUUCAAGAUUUGAAUUAUCUUAUUGCUAAUGCAAGUUGACCAACUAACCAGGAUAUAGAAAAAAAUGCAUAGCUUUACUGGGCUGAAGAAGAAGGAAUAAGCUCAGUAAAAUUUCCAACAUUUCUGAAUGAGACUUUGACUGCACAAUGUCACUUAACUUUCAUGUUGUCUGUUGGAGAAGAGACAAUUAUUAUUCAAGAAUAAAUGUCUAUGUCAUGAUUGAGAAAGAACUAAUAGCACAUAAAUGGUUAUGAGAUGAGGAUGGAAGCAAAAGUUAAUAGUAUGAUACAUGCUAUGUGAUCUUUUAUGAUUUUGUAAUUUAUGUUGAUUGUUUGUCCUAGCUUGCUUUUGCAAGAGUUUCUUAAUGGUUUAUUACUAGAUCAAAAGCUGAUUUAUGCGGGUAGAAGGUGAAUUUGACUCCGCGGUGCUGCUUUCAUUUGAUGUUUUUUUUUCUUUUGUGUAAAGAGCUGAAACAAUGUAGUGUUUCUAUGGAACUUGAUUGUCUAAGUUCAGUUUUAUAAGUCAUUAUAUAUUGGUGUAGUUUUGUUUUGGAU